UGGGGAAUAUUGCACAAUGGGCGAAAGCCUGAUGCAGCAACGCCGCGUGAGUGAUGAAGGCCUUCGGGUUGUAAAGCUCUGUCUUUUGGGACGAUAAUGACGGUACCAAAGGAGGAAGCCACGGCUAACUACGUGCCAGCAGCCGCGGUAAUACGUAGGUGGCAAGCGUUGUCCGGAUUUACUGGGCGUAAAGGAUGCGUAGGCGGAUUUUUAAGUGAGAUGUGAAAACCCUAAGCUUAACUUGGGGACUGCAUUUCAUACUGGAAAUCUAGAGUGCGGGAGAGGAGAAUGGAAUUCCUAGUGUAGCGGUGAAAUGCGUAGAGAUUAGGAGGAACACCAGUGGCGAAGGCGAUUCUCUGGACCGUAACUGACGCUGAGGCAUGAAAGCGUGGGUAGCAAACAGGAUUAGAUACCCUGGUAGUCCACGCCGUAAACGAUGAGUACUAGGUGUAGGAGGUAUCGACCCCCUUCUGUGCCGCAGUUAACACAAUAAGUACUCCGCCUGGGAAGUACGAUCGCAAGAUUAAAAC
This 530-nucleotide ribosomal RNA is filed under the name uncultured bacterium. Its description in RNAcentral is "partial 16S ribosomal RNA". It matches the Rfam family "Bacterial small subunit ribosomal RNA", at positions 355 to 900 of the family's 1533-position model. The record is from RNAcentral.